RNAcentral lists this ribosomal RNA (274 nucleotides) under uncultured bacterium. Its description in RNAcentral is "partial 16S ribosomal RNA". It matches the Rfam family "Bacterial small subunit ribosomal RNA", at positions 523 to 796 of the family's 1533-position model. The record is from RNAcentral.
AUACGGAGGGUGCAAGCGUUAUUCGGAAUCACGGGGCGUAAAGGGUGCGUAGGCGGUUUGAUAAGUCUGAUGUGAAAUCCUAUGGCUCAACCAUAGAACUGCAUUGGAAACUGUCAGACUAGAAUACUGAAGGGGCGGAUGGAAUUAGUGGUGUAGGGGUAAAAUCCGUAGAUAUCAGUAGGGAUACCGAAAGCGAAAGCGAUCUGCUGGGAAGUUAUUGACGCUGAGGCACGAAAGCGUGGGGAGCAAACGGGAUUAGAAACCCCAGUAGUCC